Long non-coding RNA from Amphimedon queenslandica, 261 nucleotides. RefSeq lists it as uncharacterized. The transcript is spliced from 2 exons. The record is from RefSeq and is a predicted model, not a curated record. NCBI's taxonomy places the organism in Eukaryota, Metazoa, Porifera, Demospongiae, Haplosclerida, Niphatidae.
GGGAUGAAAGGAUGUGAGGAGAGGGUUAUUGCUGGUGAGUUAAGGCCAACAAUUGAUACUAAUGGAAGAGGAGGAGGAGGAGGAAUGCAGUUUGAUGAUGAAGAAGAAAUUGAAGUACUAGUAGAUAAAGGCUGAGAAGCAUCAGAAGAGAUCAAUCAAGUUAAUUAUUAUAAUAGUAUUAAUAGUUAUAAUAGUAGUGGCUGUUGUUACUUUUAUUAUUGUUAAAGUUGUUAGGAAAGGAAAAGGAAUUAUUUAAUGAUA